GGGUCUAUAACUCAACGGUAGAGUAGCGCCCUUUUAAGGCGUUAGUUGUGGGUUCGAAUCCCACUGGACCCACCA
Molecule: transfer RNA, 75 nt
Filed under: candidate division WWE3 bacterium CG_4_10_14_0_2_um_filter_42_7
Lineage: Bacteria; candidate division WWE3
Also listed under: 1 other name
Description: tRNA-Lys
Rfam family: tRNA
About the family: Transfer RNA (tRNA) molecules are approximately 80 nucleotides in length.
Source: RNAcentral